AGUGAACGCUGGCGGUAGGCCUAACACAUGCAAGUCGAACGGCAGCACAGUAAGAGCUUGCUCUUACGGGUGGCGAGUGGCGGACGGGUGAGGAAUACAUCGGAAUCUACUUUUUCGUGGGGGAUAACGUAGGGAAACUUACGCUAAUACCGCAUACGACCUACGGGUGAAAGCAGGGGAUCUUCGGACCUUGCGCGAUUGAAUGAGCCGAUGUCGGACUAGCUAGUUGGCGGGGUAAAGGCCCACCAAGGCGACGAUCCGUAGCUGGUCUGAGAGGAUGAUCAGCCACACUGGAACUGAGACACGGUCCAGACUCCUACGGGAGGCAGCAGUGGGGAAUAUUGGACAAUGGGCGCAAGCCUGAUCCGGCCAUACCGCGUGGGUGAAGAAGGCCUUCGGGUUGUAAAGCCCUUUUGUUGGGAAAGAAAAGCAGCAGGUUAAUACCCCGCUGUUCCGACGGUACCCAAAGAAUAAGCACCGGCUAACUUCGUG
This 492-nucleotide ribosomal RNA is filed under the name uncultured bacterium. RNAcentral describes it as "partial 16S ribosomal RNA". It matches the Rfam family "Bacterial small subunit ribosomal RNA", at positions 29 to 507 of the family's 1533-position model. The record is from RNAcentral.